Molecule: long non-coding RNA, 470 nt
Filed under: Gallus gallus (chicken)
Lineage: Eukaryota; Metazoa; Chordata; Aves; Galliformes; Phasianidae
Description: long non-coding RNA NONGGAT009237
Source: RNAcentral
UAGGGUGCGACUGCCGAUAUCGGGUCUGGACUGCGCGGAUGCGGUGUUGCGAAUGAUGACCUAUACAACCUCAACAAAUCCUUCUUUUAACUCAUGGGUAUCAAGACUCUAAAUGUUUCAUGUUACCACAACUAGGACCUCACCUCCUCCUCCUCCUCUUCCUCUGUAAAUGGGUACGAUGCAUCCAGUUCAGUUUGUUUACUUUACACAAACCUCAGGAGUUAGUUGACUGAGCUGCACAUCCUGUGUUGUGCCAAGCAGAAGCACUGUGACACCUGGACUAUGAGUCUCUCACUUAAUCCUCUACCGUAAGGACUUAGCUGGCCACAAUGAACUGAUGUGCCCACCACUGUGUCAUGGUGAGAAUGGGUAUUUUACUAGCACAUUUACACAACUUCAUUUGCUGCUGAAAACCUGUAUGACAAAUCAUCCUUGUAAAUUAUUACAUACAAAACUUAAUGUUGGUUGAA